Molecule: long non-coding RNA, 1227 nt
Filed under: Citrus sinensis (sweet orange)
Lineage: Eukaryota; Viridiplantae; Streptophyta; Magnoliopsida; Sapindales; Rutaceae
Description: long non-coding RNA (CSIN_LNC003606)
Source: RNAcentral
GAGCCGAGCCGGGAUGUGGAGCAGCUGGCAGGAGCCGGCCGCCUGGGAUCCGGCCUUGACGGGAGCGGAGCCGAGGAGCGAGCCCUCGUAGAAGAUGGACAUGGUGGUGGAGGAGUACUUGAUGGGAGUGAUGUUGGGAUUGACGACGUGUACGGUCAGGAUGAGCUCGGCGUCUAGGACUGGGAACUUGAGUUUAAACGAGGUGAGUUUGAUUGAGAUCAAUUGGAAUGUGGGGUCCUUCGGCUUCGCACUGACUAGAGCUGCCGUUGCGGUUGCUGCUGCUGCUCCUAUCAAAGCUGAGUUCCAGCUCCAUUUUACCUUUUUGCCCAUGACCUUCUUCGUAAAUUACUCUAUUCUUGGUCCCUUUUGAAAUAAUGAACCAACCAACGAAGACGAGACCAAGGGGGACGCGGGUUUAUCUUUAGUCUGAUAGCCACGGUGAUUGAAAUGACGCUAAUGCCCAUAUAAAUAUUUGUUUGGUGACAGGCAUGGUGGUACAGCAGGGCUCCCCCCCACGUUGCUAACUGUCUUUUUCUUAUUUUCUUUCCGCUCGAGCCCGUCGAGCCGAGCCGGGAUGUGGAGCAGCUGGCAGGAGCCGGCCGCCUGGGAUCCGGCCUUGACGGGAGCGGAGCCGAGGAGCGAGCCCUCGUAGAAGAUGGACAUGGUGGUGGAGGAGUACUUGAUGGGAGUGAUGUUGGGAUUGACGACGUGUACGGUCAGGAUGAGCUCGGCGUCUAGGACUGGGAACUUGAGUUUAAACGAGGUGAGUUUGAUUGAGAUCAAUUGGAAUGUGGGGUCCUUCGGCUUCGCACUGACUAGAGCUGCCGUUGCGGUUGCUGCUGCUGCUCCUAUCAAAGCUGAGUUCCAGCUCCAUUUUACCUUUUUGCCCAUGACCUUCUUCGUAAAUUACUCUAUUCUUGGUCCCUUUUGAAAUAAUGAACCAACCAACGAAGACGAGACCAAGGGGGACGCGGGUUUAUCUUUAGUCUGAUAGCCACGGUGAUUGAAAUGACGCUAAUGCCCAUAUAAAUAUUUGUUUGGUGACAGGCAUGGUAAUUUAAGAGCUUGGGCAUGGGCUUAUUAUUGAUAGCAACAAGCUCAAGUCCUCUAAAAUCCCGUCCAAGACUUGGGCCUAAAGCUCACCGGUUUGGACCGAGUUUAAUUUUAUAAAAUUUUAAUAGAGUUUAAAAUAAAAAAUUAAAAGAAUACUUAAAUUAAAGAUGAUUA